AAAAGCUCAGUUGGUUAGAGCACCUGACUGUUAAUCAGGGGGUCGUUGGUUCAAGCCCAUCCU
RNAcentral lists this transfer RNA (63 nucleotides) under uncultured Prevotella sp. It matches the Rfam family "tRNA", at positions 9 to 63 of the family's 71-position model. Rfam says of the family: Transfer RNA (tRNA) molecules are approximately 80 nucleotides in length. Their secondary structure includes four short double-helical elements and three loops (D, anti-codon, and T loops). Further hydrogen bonds mediate the characteristic L-shaped molecular structure. tRNAs have two regions of fundamental functional importance: the anti-codon, which is responsible for specific mRNA codon recognition, and the 3' end, to which the tRNAs corresponding amino acid is attached (by aminoacyl-tRNA synthetases). tRNAs cope with the degeneracy of the genetic code in two manners: having more than one tRNA (with a specific anti-codon) for a particular amino acid; and 'wobble' base-pairing, i.e. permitting non-standard base-pairing at the 3rd anti-codon position. Lineage: Bacteria; Pseudomonadati; Bacteroidota; Bacteroidia; Bacteroidales; Prevotellaceae. The record is from RNAcentral.